CAGUAGCCGCGGGAAAACGUAGGUGGCAAGCGUUGUCCGGAAUUAUUGGGCGUAAAGGGCUCGCAGGCGGUUUCUUAAGUCUGAUGUGAAAUUCCCGGGCUUAACCUGGGGGCUGCAUUUGAUACGUGUUGUCUAGAGUGAGGAAGAGGGUCGUGGAAUUCCCAGUGUAGAGGUGAAAUUCGUAGAUAUUGGGAAGAACACCGGUGGCGAAGGCGGCGACCUGGUCUGUAACUGACGCUGAGGAGCGAAAGCGUGGGGAGCGAACAGGAUUAGAUACCCGCGUAGUCCCUGUCUCUUAUAC
Molecule: ribosomal RNA, 301 nt
Filed under: uncultured bacterium
Lineage: Bacteria
Description: partial 16S ribosomal RNA
Rfam family: Bacterial small subunit ribosomal RNA
Source: RNAcentral